This 433-nucleotide ribosomal RNA is filed under the name uncultured bacterium. Its description in RNAcentral is "partial 16S ribosomal RNA". It matches the Rfam family "Bacterial small subunit ribosomal RNA", at positions 29 to 507 of the family's 1533-position model. The record is from RNAcentral.
AACGAACGCUGGCGGCAUGCCUAACACAUGCAAGUCGAACGAGACCUUCGGGUUUAGUGGCGCACGGGUGCGUAACGCGUGGGAACCUGCCCUUAGGUUCGGAAUAACUCCCCGAAAGGGGUGCUAAUACCGGAUAAUGUCCUCGGACUAAAGACUUAUCGCCUUUGGAUGGGCGCGCGUUGGAUUAGCAAGUUGGUAGGGUAAAAGCCUACCAAGGCGACGAUCCAUAGCUGGUCAGAGAGGAUGAUCAGCCACACUGGGACUGAGACACGGCCCAGACUCCUACGGGAGGAAGCAGUGGGGAAGAUUGGAGAAUGGGCGAAGGGCUGAUCCAGCAAUGCCGCGGGAGUGAUGAAGGCCUUAGGGUUGUAAAGCUCUUUUAGCCGGGAUGGUAAUGACGGUACCGGGAGAAUAAGCUCCGGCUAACUCCGUG